RNAcentral lists this ribosomal RNA (403 nucleotides) under uncultured bacterium. RNAcentral's name for it is "partial 16S ribosomal RNA". It matches the Rfam family "Bacterial small subunit ribosomal RNA", at positions 28 to 526 of the family's 1533-position model. The record is from RNAcentral.
GACGAACGCUGGCGGCGUGCCUAAUACAUGCAAGUCGAACGCAGUGGGGACGGGUGAGUAACACGUGGGUAACCUCCCAUCAGAGGGGAUAACACUUGGAAACAGGUGCUAAACCGAUACUGAAUGAUGGACCCGGGGUGCAUUAGCUAGUUGGUGAGGUAACGGCUCACCAAGGCACGGAGGCAUAGCCGACCUGAGAGGGUGAUCGGCCACACUGGAACUGAGACACGGCCCAGACUCCUACGGUAGGCAGCAGUAGGGAAUCUUGGGCAAUGGACGAAAGUCGUACCGAGAAACGCCGCGUGAGUGAAGAAGGGUUUCGGAUCGUAAAACUCUGUUGUUAGAGAAGCGGUAUCUAACCAGAAAGCCACGGCUAACUACGUGCCAGACGCCGCGGUAAUAC